UACGUAGGGUGCAAGCGUUGUCCGGAAUUAUUGGGCGUAAAGAGCUCGUAGGCGGUUUGUCGCGUCUGCUGUGAAAACUCGGGGCUUAACUCCGGGCCUGCAGUGGGUACGGGCAGACUAGAGUGCGGUAUGGGAGACUGGAAUUCCUGGUGUAGCGGUGAAAUGCGCAGAUAUCAGGAGGAACACCGGUGGCGAAGGCGGGUCUCUGGGCCGAUACUGACGCUGAGGAGCGAAAGCGUGGGGAGCAAACGGG
RNAcentral lists this ribosomal RNA (253 nucleotides) under uncultured bacterium. RNAcentral describes it as "partial 16S ribosomal RNA". It matches the Rfam family "Bacterial small subunit ribosomal RNA", at positions 524 to 776 of the family's 1533-position model. The record is from RNAcentral.